CUUCCGCUACAACACAUGCAGUCGACGGGAGUAGCAAUACUUUUAGUGGCGGACGGGUGAGUAACGCGUGAGAAUCUGCCUUCAGGAUGGGAAUAACACCGGGAAACGGGUGCUAAGUCCCAAUGUGCCGAGAGGUGAAAGGGCCUUAGGGUCUGCCUGGAGAGGAGCUCGCGUCCGAUUAGUUAGUUGGCGGGGUAAGAGCCCACCAAGACAGCGAUCGGUAGCUGGUCUGAGAGGACGAGCAGCCACACUGGAACUGAGAAACGGUCCAGACUCCUACGGGAGGCAGCAGUGGGGAAUUUUCCGCAAUGGGCGAAAGCCUGACGGAGCAAGACCGCGUGUGGGAAGAAGGCCUUUGGGUCGUAAACCACUUUAAUCAGGGAAGAAGUCAGUGACGGUACCUGAAGAAAAAGCCUCGGCUAACUCCGUGCCAGCAGCCGCGGUAAUACGGAGGAGGCAAGCGUUAUCCGGAAUCAUUGGGCGUAAAGAGUCCGUAGGUGGCCUCAAAAGUCUGCUGUCAAAGCCUUGGGCUAAACCGAAGAGAGGCAGUGGAAACUAGGAAGCUAGAGUGCGGUAGGGGUAGAGGGAAUUCCCGGUGUAGCGGUGAAAUGCGUAGAGAUCGGGAAGAACACCAGUGGCGAAAGCGCUCUACUGGGCCUGCACUGACACUGAGGGACGAAAGCUAGGGGAGCGAAUGGGAUUAGAUACCCCAGUAGUCCUAGCCGUAAACGAUGGAAACUAGGUGUAGCCCGUAUCGACCCGGGCUGUACCGGAGCUAACGCGUUAAGUUUCCCGCCUGGGGAGUACGCUCGCAAGAGUGAAACUCAAAGGAAUUGACGGGGGCCCGCACAAGCGGGUGGAGUAUGUGGGUUUAAUUCGAUGCAACGCGAAGAACCCUUACCAGGGCAAGACAACUUUCGGAGUCUGGGGGAAACUCAGAUGUGCCCUUUAGGGGAACCCGGAGAGCAAGUGUGCAUGGCUGUCGUCAGGCUCGUGUCGUGAGAUGUUGGGGCUAAGGUUCCGGCAACCGAGCGCAUCCCUCGUGCUAGGCGCCAGUCCCGAAACGA
Molecule: ribosomal RNA, 1067 nt
Filed under: Jacksonvillea sp. Q2
Lineage: Bacteria; Bacillati; Cyanobacteriota; Cyanophyceae; Desertifilales; Desertifilaceae
Description: bacterial SSU rRNA
Rfam family: Bacterial small subunit ribosomal RNA
Source: RNAcentral